Molecule: non-coding RNA, 274 nt
Organism: Pelobates cultripes (western spadefoot toad)
Lineage: Eukaryota; Metazoa; Chordata; Amphibia; Anura; Pelobatidae
Source: the annotation of a GenBank genome assembly
AGUCUCCAUUCCCCAGCGGCCGAGUGAUGUGCCGGGAAUUGGGAGCCCAGUCUCCAUUCCCCAGCGGGAGAUACAGCAGGGAAUUGGGAGCCCAGUCUCCAUUCCCCAGCGGCAGAGUGUCCUACCGGGAAUAGAGAGCCCAGUCUCCUUUCCCCAGCAGCAGGAAACUGUAUUGGGAGCGGAGACAGUCGGUCUCCCUCCACAGAGGAUGAAAGUAUGUAUGGGAGAGGAGCUUACUACCACCUCUCCCCAGCGGCGGAUCAUUAAUGGGCAG